RNAcentral lists this ribosomal RNA (253 nucleotides) under uncultured bacterium. RNAcentral describes it as "partial 16S ribosomal RNA". It matches the Rfam family "Bacterial small subunit ribosomal RNA", at positions 524 to 776 of the family's 1533-position model. The record is from RNAcentral.
UACGUAGGGUGCGAGCGUUAAUCGGAAUUACUGGGCGUAAAGUGUGCGCAGGCGGCCGCGCAAGUCGAGUGUGAAAUCCCCGAGCUUAACUUGGGAAUUGCGCUCGAAACUACGUGGCUGGAGUGUGGCAGAGGAAGGUGGAAUUCCACGUGUAGCGGUGAAAUGCGUAGAUAUGUGGAGGAACACCGAUGGCGAAGGCAGCCUUCUGGGCCAACACUGACGCUCAUGCACGAAAGCGUGGGUAGCAAACAGG